RNAcentral lists this microRNA precursor (190 nucleotides) under Sorghum bicolor (sorghum). RNAcentral describes it as "pre miRNA MIR811". Lineage: Eukaryota; Viridiplantae; Streptophyta; Magnoliopsida; Poales; Poaceae. The record is from RNAcentral.
GCAACCUAUGCAACCACCAAUUGAGUCCACAGGAUCUAGAUCUAACGUCUAAGUUUUUUUUUAUUUAAACCCCUCUACCUGUGGGUUUAAAUCUAACGCAUGUGUAUCCAGAUGGGAGGGUUUAAGUGAAAAAAAACCUCAGACGUUAGAUCUAGAUCCUGUGGUAUUAAUUAGUGGUUGCAUAGGUUGC